RNAcentral lists this ribosomal RNA (346 nucleotides) under uncultured eukaryote. RNAcentral's name for it is "SSU rRNA". It matches the Rfam family "Eukaryotic small subunit ribosomal RNA", at positions 594 to 945 of the family's 1831-position model. The record is from RNAcentral.
AUAGCGUAUAUUAAAGUUGUUGAGGUUAAAAAGCUCGUAGUUGAACCUUGGGCCUAGCCGGCCGGUCCGCCUCACCGCGUGCACUGGCUCGGUUGGGCCUUUCCUUCUGGAGAACCCCAUGCCCUUCACUGGGUGUGGUGGGGAACCAGGACUUUUACUCUGAACAAAUUAGAUCGCUUAAAGAAGGCCUAUGCUCGAAUAUAUUAGCAUGGAAUAAUAGAAUAGGACGUGUGGUUCUUUUUUGUUGGUUUCUAGGACCGCCGUAAUGAUUAAUAGGGACAGUCGGGGGCAUCAGUAUUCAAUUGUCAGAGGUGAAAUUCUUGGAUUUAUUGAAGACUAACUACUG